RNAcentral lists this ribosomal RNA (296 nucleotides) under uncultured bacterium. Its description in RNAcentral is "partial 16S ribosomal RNA". It matches the Rfam family "Bacterial small subunit ribosomal RNA", at positions 28 to 325 of the family's 1533-position model. The record is from RNAcentral.
GACGAACGCUGGCGGCGUGCUUAACACAUGCAAGUCGAGCGGUAAGGCCCUUUCGGGGGUACACGAGCGGCGAACGGGUGAGUAACACGUGGGUGACCUGCCCUUAGCUCUGGGAUAAGCCUGGGAAACUGGGUCUAAUACCGGAUAUGACUCCAUAACGCAUGUUGUGGGGUGGAAAGCCUUGUGCGGCUAGGGAUGGGCCCGCGGCCUAUCAGCUUGUUGGUGGGGUGAUGGCCACCAAGGCGACGACGGGUAGCCGGCCUGAGGAGGGCGACCGGCCACACUGGGACUGAGAC